GGCUUACACAUGCAAGUCGAGGGGUAACAGGGAUUGCUUGCAAUCCGCUGACGACCGGCGAACGGGUGCGUAACGCGUAUGCAACCUACCUUUUACAGGGGGAUAGCCCAAAGAAAUUUGGAAUAACACCCCAUACGAUCUUUAUUUGGCAUCAAUUAGAGAAGAAAACUCAGGUGGUAAAAGAUGGGCAUGCGUCCUAUUAGUUAGUUGGUAAGGUAACGGCUUACCAAGACUACGAUAGGUAGGGGUCCUGAGAGGGAGAUCCCCCACACUGGUACUGAGACACGGACCAGACUCCUACGGGAGGCAGCAGUGAGGAAUAUUGGACAAUGGAGGCAACUCUGAUCCAGCCAUGCCGCGUGCAGGAAGACUGCCCUAUGGGUUGUAAACUGCUUUUAUACAGGAAGAAUUGCAUCUACGUGUAGUUGCUUGACGGUACUGUACGAAUAAGGAUCGGCUAACUCCGUGCCAGCAGCCGCGGUAAUACGGAGGAUCCAAGCGUUAUCCGGAAUUAUUGGGUUUAAAGGGUCCGUAGGCGGUUUUUUAAGUCAGAGGUGAAAUCCUGCAGCUCAACUGUAGCAUUGCCUUUGAUACUGAAAGACUUGAGUUAUUGUGAAGUAGUUAGAAUGUGUAGUGUAGCGGUGAAAUGCAUAGAUAUUACACAGAAUACCGAUUGCGAAAGCAGAUUACUAACAAUAUACUGACGCUCAUGGACGAAAGCGUGGGUAGCGAACAGGAUUAGAUACCCUGGUAGUCCACGCCGUAAACGAUGGAUACUAGCUGUUCGAUCAACAUUGGUUGAUUGAGUGGUUAAGCGAAAGUGAUAAGUAUCCCACCUGGGGAGUACGCUCGCAAGAGUGAAACUCAAAGGAAUUGACGGGGGCCCGCACAAGCGGUGAGCAUGUGUUUAAUUCGAUGAUACGCGAGAACCUUACCAGGGCUUAAAUGUAAGUUGCAUAGAUCAGAGAUGAUCUUUUCUUCGACUACUUACAGUGCUGCAUGUUGUCGUCAGCUCGUGCCGUGGAGGUGUCAGUUAGUCCUAUAACGAGCGGCAC
Molecule: ribosomal RNA, 1055 nt
Filed under: uncultured bacterium
Lineage: Bacteria
Description: bacterial SSU rRNA
Rfam family: Bacterial small subunit ribosomal RNA
Source: RNAcentral